UUGUGGCCACUGCACGUUGAAACACCGAUUCUCGUACGAUCACCGAAGUUAAUCAAAGUCGAUCGUGAUCAGUAUAUAGAUGGAUGACCGCUUGGGAAUACCAAGUGCCACAA
Molecule: non-coding RNA, 113 nt
Organism: Acanthosepion pharaonis
Lineage: Eukaryota; Metazoa; Mollusca; Cephalopoda; Sepiida; Sepiidae
Source: the annotation of a GenBank genome assembly